RNAcentral lists this ribosomal RNA (292 nucleotides) under uncultured bacterium. Its description in RNAcentral is "partial 16S ribosomal RNA". It matches the Rfam family "Bacterial small subunit ribosomal RNA", at positions 505 to 796 of the family's 1533-position model. The record is from RNAcentral.
GUGCCAGCCGCCGCGGUAAUACGUAGGCAGCAAGCGUUGUUCGGAAUUACUGGGCGUAAAGAGUGUGUAGGCGGUGCUCUAAGUUUGGUGUGAAAUCUCCCGGCUCAACCGGGAGGCUGCAUCGAAUACUGGAAUGCUAGAGGGUGGGAGAGGUAAGCGGAAUUCCUGGUGUAGCGGUGAAAUGCGUAGAUAUCAGGAGGAACACCUGUGGUGUAGACAGCUUACUGGACCACUUCUGACGCUGAGACACGAAAGCGUGGGUAGCAAACAGGAUUAGAAACCCUCGUAGUCC